This 253-nucleotide ribosomal RNA is filed under the name uncultured bacterium. RNAcentral's name for it is "partial 16S ribosomal RNA". It matches the Rfam family "Bacterial small subunit ribosomal RNA", at positions 524 to 776 of the family's 1533-position model. The record is from RNAcentral.
UACGGAGGGUCCAAGCGUUGUCCGGAAUCACUGGGUGUAAAGGGUGCGUAGGCGGGCUAGUAAGUCAGGGGUGAAAGCCCGCGGCUCAACCGCGGAACUGCCCUUGAUACUGCAAGUCUUGAGUCCUGGAGGGGCUGGCGGAAUUCGUGGUGUAGCGGUGAAAUGCGUAGAUAUCGUGUGGAACGCCAAAGGCGAAAGCAGACGACUGGGAUUGCGCUGACGCUGAGACACGAAAGCCAGGGGAGCAAACGGG